GUGAUGAGGGGAUCGAUGGAGAGAUCUUAUGACGAUGGAAGAGACGACCUGA
This 52-nucleotide small nucleolar RNA is filed under the name Pyrobaculum islandicum DSM 4184. RNAcentral's name for it is "PISsR14". The record is from RNAcentral. Lineage: Archaea; Thermoproteati; Thermoproteota; Thermoprotei; Thermoproteales; Thermoproteaceae.